This 679-nucleotide long non-coding RNA is filed under the name Selaginella moellendorffii. RNAcentral describes it as "long non-coding RNA (SMOE_LNC001185)". The record is from RNAcentral. Lineage: Eukaryota; Viridiplantae; Streptophyta; Lycopodiopsida; Selaginellales; Selaginellaceae.
CUCAAUCAAGGAAAUAGUCAACAUUAGUAAAAAGGAGUCAAAUACGAUUGCAUACGUGGGUAAGAGGAACGUCUCGUCGCGUGGCUUCCACGAGCACCAUGCAAGGGAUGCGUGGAGCCACGGCCACCUCAGCUGCCACCUCGACCUGGCACGUCCACGUAAGAUUACAUGCCCCGCGAGUGAAUCUCAGUGCUUAUUCUAUCCCUCUCUCGCUUUCUUGCUCACUCUCUUCUCUCUUGAGAAGAAGUCCUCUCUACAAUGGCACUGCGAGAUUCUUUGUUUGCAAAGUUUGUCUUCGUGCAUGGGGAUGACGACGAUGACAAUCCCCCGGAUCUCGCGCCCGCCGCCUCAGAAGUUCAUGCAUUGUCUCCUUGUAUCCUGGGGGAAGACCAAAUGGUUCCAAGGAUCAUCUAUGAGGCUCACUGCGGAAAUCGCGAUCGCCAAGUAAGUUCUAUUCCCUUUUCCUCUUUUGAUGUUUCCAAUUUGAUUCAUGUGUUCACUGUGUUCCUUGAUCAAUGCAGCGAGAUCAAACUCCUCCAACAGUUCGCAUUGGGAUCUGAGAACGCUGGAUCCUUUCACCGCUCCAAUUCAAAUCCCUCUUGCGUGUAUCUCAUCCUUCUCCUUCUUUGCGGAUCGGAGAAGCCAGAAAAAGCUAGUUGUCAAGGAUCUAUGACGAACU